AGAGUUUGAUCCUGGCUCAGAUUGAACGCUGGCGGUAUGCUUAACACAUGCAAGUCGAACGGAAACGAUACUAGCUUGCUAGUAGGCGUCGAGUGGCGGACGGGUGAGUAACGCGUAGGAAUCUGCCUGAUAGUGGGGGAUAGCCCGAAGAAAUUCGGAUUAAUACCGCAUAAUCUAUUCGUAGUAAAGUGGGGGACUUUCGAGCCUCACGCUAUCAGAUGAGCCUGCGUAAGAUUAGCUAGUUGGUAGGGUAAAAGCCUACCAAGGCUACGAUCUUUAGCUGGUCUGAGAGGAUGAUCAGCCACAUCGGGACUGAGACACGGCCCGAACUCCUACGGGAGGCAGCAGUGGGGAAUAUUGGACAAUGGGGGCAACCCUGAUCCAGCAAUACCGCGUGUGUGAAGAAGGCCUGAGGGUUGUAAAGCACUUUCAAUUGUGAAGAAAAGUUAACGGUUAAUAACCGUUAGCCUUGACGUUAACUUUAGAAGAAGCACCGGCUAACUCCGUGCCAGCAGCCGCGGUAAUACGGAGGGUGCAAGCGUUAAUCGGAAUUACUGGGCGUAAAGCGUGCGUAGGCGGUUUAUUAAGUCAGAUGUGAAAGCCCCGGGCUUAACCUGGGAACUGCAUUUGAAACUGGUCAACUAGAGUAUGGUAGAGGAAAGUGGAAUUUCUGGUGUAGCGGUGAAAUGCGUAGAUAUCAGAAGGAACAUCAAUGGCGAAGGCAGCUUUCUGGACCAAUACUGACGCUGAGGUACGAAAGCGUGGGUAGCAAACAGGAUUAGAUACCCUGGUAGUGCACGCCGUAAACGAUGAUAACUAGCCGUUGGGGGGAUUUACCCUUUAGUGGCGAAGCUAACGCGUUAAGUUAUCCGCCUGGGGAGUACGGCCGCAAGGCUAAAACUCAAAGGAAUUGACGGGGACCCGCACAAGCGGUGGAGCAUGUGGUUUAAUUCGAUGCAACGCGAAGAACCUUACCUGGUCUUGACAUCCUGCGAACUUUCUAGAAAUAGAUUGGUGCCUUCGGGAACGCAGUGACAGGUGCUGCAUGGCUGUCGUCAGCUCGUGUCGUGAGAUGUUGGGUUAAGUCCCGUAACGAGCGCAACCCCUAUCCUUAUUUGCCAGCACAUUAUGGUGGGAACUAUAAGGAGACUGCCGGUGAUAAACCGGAGGAAGGCGGGGACGACGUCAAGUCAUCAUGGCCCUUACGACCAGGGCUACACACGUGCUACAAUGGGAAGGACAAAGAGCCGCGAAGCCGCGAGGUGUAGCUAAUCUCAUAAAUCUUUUCGUAGUCCGGAUUGGAGUCUGCAACUCGACUCCAUGAAGUCGGAAUCGCUAGUAAUCGUAGAUCAGAAUGCUACGGUGAAUACGUUCCCGGGUCUUGUACACACCGCCCGUCACACCAUGGGAGCCGACAAGGGCAGAAGUCGCCGAGCUAACCUUCGGGAAGCAGGCGCCCAAGCUGUUGUUGACGACUGGGGUGAAGUCGUAACAAGGUAACC
Molecule: ribosomal RNA, 1502 nt
Filed under: uncultured bacterium
Lineage: Bacteria
Description: bacterial SSU rRNA
Rfam family: Bacterial small subunit ribosomal RNA
Source: RNAcentral